Molecule: long non-coding RNA, 1098 nt
Filed under: Vigna radiata
Lineage: Eukaryota; Viridiplantae; Streptophyta; Magnoliopsida; Fabales; Fabaceae
Description: long non-coding RNA (VRAD_LNC011159)
Source: RNAcentral
UUCGAUACACCAUGAAGAAGAAACGUCCCACUUGUGUAUCCGGUUACACCCAUUCAAGUAUCCGGUUAUAGCCUUCAAGAAAAAGAAAAAGAACGUGUUAUCCGGAUACAACAUUCACGUAUCCGGUUACAUCCAUGAAGAAGAAGAAGCAGAGUGAAGUUGUAUCCGAUUCCAGGCGCGGUUGAAGUGGGUCGUUUUCCGUUACCCAGCCCCUCCAUUAUGUGUACGUUCGACGUUGACGAUGGGGGAUGCAGCUUCCUUCACGAUGAAUACGAAUGAAUUGAACGACAAGAACAAGGGUGGGGCAGAGCUAGCGGCACCGAAAAUUGAAGACGCAACGAAGGUAGGGUUUGUGGCAGCGGUGAAGGGAGAGGAGGAUCCGAACGAGAACGCGAAGUGGAGGAUGAGACAAAUGAAAAUGGAGAAGAGGAAAAAGAAGAAGAAGGGUUUGUGAAGGAAAAGGAAGACAGAGAUUGAGUUGAAGAAGGGGUAGAAGAUCCGAAGGAGAAACUCGCCAUUGUUACCCUUUUUCUCUCAGCUCUAUCCUAUUUGAGAGUGAGGAGCAUCUUCGUUUUCAAGAAGAGGGUUUUCAAUUUAUAUAGUAAGGUUUCUGGGUUCUGCUUUACUCUACUCACUCUAAAAUUUCAAUUAAGAAACAAUGUUUUUAACAAAUACUUUUUUUACAGCCAUAUGUCAAAAUAAAUAUAAGUGUAUGUCACUUUAAUCAAUAAUUAUUUUUCUAAAAAAAAAAAAGAUAUUUUGACUAUUUUUUUUCUUACUCCAUAUUUUGACUAUUUUUUUAUUAAUUAUUCUAAAUUUUUAAUUCUUAAUAAAUAUUUUAAAAUUAAAUAUAACAUUAAACAAAAUUAAAUAUAACAUUAAACAAAUUAAAUAUAUCAUUAUAUUACUUUAAUACUUAGGGGCAUAUUGGUAAUCUUCAAUUUUUACCAAUUAAACUAAUUUUUUAAAUCUGUCAUAUCAAUCAAAUCCUACACUAAUUCUCACAAACUUUACCCUUAAUGCUCUGUUCGUAUGAGGGGAAAAUACUAUUGAAGGGAGAGUGUGAGGAAUGAUUUGCAGGAUGGAGGGUGUUCGUUU